CCCCAAACAGACCAACUGGUUGUGGCUGCCUGGGGACUAUGGUGAGAUUUCUGGCGUCUGAUCUGGGUUCCUGGGAAAGCAUGCCCGCAUAGAUUAGUGCCGUCUGCCGCCUGCGGGGCUUGGGCACAGACAGUAGCAUCACAUUCGGGGGAGAUCAUGAGGUGCCCUGAUCCCCUCACCAACCUCCGCCAUCUCCCUGAAAGGUUUGAUCAUCGCUGUGGAAGAUGGCUUCAAAGUUUAGUGAGCUGCCUGCUUGAAGUGUUCAACAACAAUUCUUGCCAUUCUUGGAUGACUGAAUAAAUGGAUGCAAGAAAACAGCCAGGUACUGGCAGAAAGAAAGCAAUUAGCAUGAUUGGAUGAGAAAUCAGACCCACCCCUGAGGAUGAAGAUGGAGGAAGGUGUCUCCGAAGCCCAUGACCCCACCAGGGAGCACGGACCCUGAGCCAAGUCUGCAUUCUGUAGUGAGAAGCCACUCAUGUUCUUUUCCAUACCUCCUUUUAAAUACCUCCCUACCUGAAUAGAACCUCUGUGGCCAGCCUUC
Molecule: non-coding RNA, 541 nt
Organism: Ictidomys tridecemlineatus (thirteen-lined ground squirrel)
Lineage: Eukaryota; Metazoa; Chordata; Mammalia; Rodentia; Sciuridae
Source: RefSeq, a predicted model, not a curated record